ACCCAAAAGAUCGAAAGGAGAGAUUCAUUGUUGGCGUAUUUGGUAUAUGGGCAAAUUGCGAUACGUUUGAUCUCCGCAAGGAUGAUACAGCUGUACGUGUUUGCAUCAUUUUAAUGCUAAAUAUCGUAGGCGUGCACUUCUCUCCAAGUAGGACGUCGCGACCCGUUGGGUGUUGAUCUACGACUCAAAUGGUAGCCUUUAAUAUCAUAGCAAUAUGUUAUAUUGAAGACCUUUGGUGUUAUCUGAUUAACUGCCCAGCGGUAUGAAAAUGGUAUUGUGUCGCUAAUAUGCGUCAAGACUGAACACAAGCCCGAUCAAUGUUUGAUCAGUACGGACUUAGUGCCGUCGGUCUACUUGGUCAGCUGUUAGUUGUACAGUGACUUUGACAGACACAAAUUGAAUAUAUCGAUACCGGUCAGCGAUGCUACUGCUUUGGGUACUUUCAGGACCCGUCUUGAAACACGGACCAAGGAGUCUAACAUGUACGCGAGUCAUUGGGUUGUAUUUUUUUUAUUUAAACCUAAAGGCGUAAUGAAAGUAAAAGUUGACCUUGUGUUAACUAAGGGAAGAUAAGUUAUAUUUUUAUGUAACUUCGCACUCCUGGGGCGUCUCAUUCUUAUUAUAAGACGAGGCG
Molecule: ribosomal RNA, 634 nt
Filed under: Eadya sp. RDB-2000
Lineage: Eukaryota; Metazoa; Arthropoda; Insecta; Hymenoptera; Braconidae
Description: eukaryotic LSU rRNA
Rfam family: Eukaryotic large subunit ribosomal RNA
Source: RNAcentral